GAUGAACGCUGGCGGCGUGCCUAAUACAUGCAAGUCGAGCGAACAGAUGAGGAGCUUGCUCCUCUGACGUUAGCGGCGGACGGGUGAGUCACACGUGGAUAACCUACCUAUAAGACUGGGAUAACUUCGGGAAACCGGAGCUAAUACCGGAUAAUAUAUUGAACCGCAUGGUUCAAUAGUGAAAGACGGUUUUGCUGUCACUUAUAGAUGGAUCCGCGCCGCAUUAGCUAGUUGGUAAGGUAACGGCUUACCAAGGCAACGAUGCGUAGCCGACCUGAGAGGGUGAUCGGCCACACUGGAACUGAGACACGGUCCAGACUCCUACGGGAGGCAGCAGUAGGGAAUCUUCCGCAAUGGGCGAAAGCCUGACGGAGCAACGCCGCGUGAGUGAUGAAGGUCUUCGGAUCGUAAAACGCUGUUAUUAGGGAAGAACAAAUGUGUAAGUAACUAUGCACGUCUUGACGGUACCUAAUCAGAAAGCCACGGCUAACUACGUG
Molecule: ribosomal RNA, 497 nt
Filed under: uncultured bacterium
Lineage: Bacteria
Description: partial 16S ribosomal RNA
Rfam family: Bacterial small subunit ribosomal RNA
Source: RNAcentral